Molecule: long non-coding RNA, 1179 nt
Organism: Lolium perenne
Lineage: Eukaryota; Viridiplantae; Streptophyta; Magnoliopsida; Poales; Poaceae
Source: RefSeq, a predicted model, not a curated record
CUCUCGCCCUUCCUCGGAGCGGUCGGGGAUGACGCAGACUCUGUUGCCUUCCUCCGCGCCAUCCGGGACGCAAACGCCUCCCUCAGAUCGAUGACCUGAACUUCUGUUCUUGACAACAGUAUCACCGAGCUUCUUCCGUACUAAGAGGUGUUGGAACAUCCUUCCAUUUGCCUGAUUCCUAAGUAGAAGUGUUUGCCGGAACAUCCUUCCAUUUUCAAUGAUGUACUGGCUGCACAAGUUGCUGGCUUAGGUAGUCUGUACUGAACUGCACUAGCUUGUUAUAAGAUGUCAAGUAUUUAUAGUUGCUAUAUGCUAAUUCGCAGGUCCAAUCCAUAUGAAAAUUAUGCUAAUAUGUUGUGUUAACAUUUCUGAUGUAUUUUUUUUAAUACACGAACAUGCUUUUGAGCAGUUGUACUUGACGGCAUCGACAGUGACCACUCCUCCAGAAGCAAAAUCUAUGGUUGAGAUGGUCGGUCGAAAUGUGUGAUAGGGAUAUGAACAAGAGGAAUGGCCUUGAGCUUGGCGAGCACAUAGUGUCGUGGUCCGACCAGGCGAAGGAGGGGAGAAGAAAAGGAGAGGCACGAGGAGGGCGAGAAGAUGAGGACAUACAGUGUGGCUAACUGAUGUGCUGCGUCGAGGCCGAGGUGGUGGCACACGGUGGGUGGGUGGUCCACAACCAAAUUCCGUUGGUACAUGCCAUUAAAUUUGUUGUGGACUAUCUAAAUUGUUAUCAAUCGUACAUCGACCUAUGGAUGCACUAUGGAGCAGUCAGUGCACAUACCAAAGUUUCAAGGUUAUAGGUCGAGGUCUGCCUCCAUAUGACAUGCAUGAUUCAUGCAGAUUGUGUAUAUCCAUGGCAGCAGCGACUAGCAUAUGUCAGAUUGAUGUACUCUGACCUACCUAGGCUUUGACAGUAGUCUUGCUUAUCACGGGAUCAGAUAUUCGAAAUUCCGCUCAAGGAGCACCUGAGGUAUUUUUGAUGUGUGGGGAUAGCAAAGGAACACGUGUUCCCCUUUAUGGCUGAGGGGGCGGAAGCAGCAAAAGAAACAUGUUCCUAUAGAAACUCGUGUUGCACUAGAUGCAUUUGCUAUCUAUGGUUUUAUAAUGAAAAGUAGAGUGUGGUUCAUCAUUGAACUUUGUAAAUGAGAUACUAUGAUCAGUUAUAACUUUUGACACUUA